Molecule: ribosomal RNA, 320 nt
Filed under: uncultured Prevotella sp.
Lineage: Bacteria; Pseudomonadati; Bacteroidota; Bacteroidia; Bacteroidales; Prevotellaceae
Description: partial 16S ribosomal RNA
Source: RNAcentral
GGAGUUUGGUCCGUGUCUCAGUACCAAUGUGGGGGACCUUCCUCUCAGAACCCCUACUGAUCGUCGCCUUGGUGGGCCGUUACCCCGCCAACAAGCUAAUCAGACGCAUCCCCAUCAUAUACCGGUGAACCUUUGGUAUUCUUCAGAUGUCAUCGAAAUACAACAUAGAGCAUUAAUCCGACUUUCGCCGGGCUAUUCUCUACUAUGGGGAAGGUUGGAUACGCGUUACUCACCCGUGCGCCGGUCGCCAUCAAAGAAAGCAAGCUUCCUUCAUGCUGCCCCUCGACUUGCAUGUGUUAAGCCUGUAGCUAGCGUUCAUC